CGUUGGUUCCGGGGGAUGCACUGUCCCAGCUCCACAUUCCGUCGGGAGGGUUUUCUUUCUUCGCUCUCCUUCAACAUCCCCUACCCACACAAUCACGAGAUUCUGCCAACUCUUGCCUGUAACAUGUCUAGAAUACAGCCUCUCGUUAUUCUGUUCCUUCUUAACUUGAGAAGGCGUCCUUAUCACCCGGGAGCUUUGUAAAAAUGUACAAUUCCAGCGCCCCCCCCCCCAAGAUUCCGAUGCAGGAUGUCCACGGCGGGUCCCAAGAAGUCUGCGUUUCUAACAACGCAGCCCGGUGAUCUGAGGGCCAGCGGCGCGGAGCGAUGGGAGCCAGAUUUGAAAGGAAGAAGCAUGUUCCAGGCGGUGAGGCUGGGAGGUGAGAGCCCUGGGCAGGAGGAAGCUGAUAAGGAGGGACAGAAAGGACAGAGAGGCAGGGGGCAGCCUGACGGGCAGCUUCAAUGUGGGGGCUUCCCAGGUCAUGGGAGACAGGCAUGCUUUGGACACGUGGCCGUGUCGGCUGGAGGCAGAAGAUGAGGGUCAGUAGCUGGGGAGCGAGGUCUGGGCUGGACGUGAUCAUUCACCCUCCAGGAUGGAGCUGGCCAGCUGCCACGAGAAGGUUGUCGAGAGGGAACCCCAUUUCAACAGCGACUGGGGAAGACGAGCCAGCAGACAGCAUAGGAGGAAGGAAGAAAACUAUUGUGGAAAACCAGGAGACCCAAGAGGAAGCGGUUAGCUGGGGAACCGUCACCCUUGUAUUUGGGGGGGCCCGGAACAGAGCAGGGAUAUAAAAAAACGCUUUCCCAAUGGAACGGAGGUGCUGCUGGGUCAUGGAAGCACACUGGCCUUGUGUCCACUGCUCAUCUCCUGGCGUUGCAAAAGGGCUGCCAUAGCUCCGGAUAUUGUAUUCUGACACCAGUGGCUCAAGGUGGAAGGAGAGGGGCAGAGACAGAAAGCUAUGGACUGAGAAGAGCUAUGGUCCAGAGCUCCGAUGUCACGCUGACCCAAAGAGAAGAGAACAGGAUUGCCAACCACAGAGCUUGCCCUGAGGUGAAGGGCCCACCCGCGUCCUUUUACCAGUAGUCAACAGGCUGAGCACAUGGGUUGAAGAGGCCAUGACCAGACCCUUGGAUCUGCCUUCGAGUGUCUUCUUCACAAGCUAGAACACAGGUUCAUUUCAUGUAUCCCUUCCUUCACGCACGAAUUCAGUGACCAUUUAUGGGGCAAUGUCCACACGACAGGCUUUGUGCCAGGUCCUGGAAUCAUGGGUCACCCUCUUGAACAACACGCUCAGGAGUUCGCUGUCUCUUAGUCCUGUCCUCUUCUCUACGCCUCCUGACCAGCACCGGUCCUAGUCCAGCCUGAUCAUUUGCCUCCUUGGUACUCACUCCUGCCGGAAUGGUGCUGAUUGGGCCCUCAAGAUCCCAGAUGUUCAGCCCUAUAACCAGGUUCUUUCUUUCUUUCUUUAUUUUUUAAAGAUUUUAUUUAUUUAUUUGUCAGAGAGAGAGUGAGUGAGAGCGAGCACAGGCAGACAGAGUGGAAGGCAGAGUCAGAGGGAGAAGCAGGCUCCCUGCGGAGCAAGGAGCCCGAUGUGGGACUCGAUCCCAGGACGCUGGGCUCAUGACCUGAGCCGAAGGCAGUUGCUUAACCAACUGAGCCACCCAGGCGCCCCUAUAACCAGGUUCUUGAUAGAACCCUUCAGUUCUUACACCUGCCCCCAAGGUGGCUAUUCCAAACAUCUCCCAUGGCCCAUCAAGCCCCUACUCUUCUCAUCAAGUCUUUCCUACUUCCUCCCUGGGCAAGCAGAGGUCAUGAACAUGUUCUCCCAGCUUUACUCUCCCGGACGGACAUGCUUAGUGCCCAGAACUUCUCUCAAGACUCACCUAGAGCUACUCUUUCUUUCCUUGUCCUCUCCUAAGCCUCGGUUCAAAGGUCUCCUCUUUUUAAAACCUUAGCAGCAGUAAGACCAUCACUAGCAAAUAUGUAUUUGGCACCGGGCUGAGCAUUUCACAGGAACUGUCCCAAUUCUAUCCUCGCACAAAGCUGGGGAAGGGUUCAGGUCCACUUGGCAGACGAGAAACGGAAGCACAGGGUAAGUUAACUUGCCCCACGUUCCUCCAGGGUGGGGCCAGGAUUCAAGCCCUGAUCUGCCCGGGACUCGGAAAGUGCUGCUCCCCAGGACCGGGCGAACUCUCCUGGGCUCACCCCACCCCUGUCACUUGUGCCUUCCCGGCGCACGCGCACACAUCCUCUCCCCAGACAAUCAACCCACUGAUGAGAUCUGUCUCUCUUCUGGUCGGCUUCCCGCCCUGGACUGGGAGUGCCCCGAGGGCAGAGAUCCUGUCUGAUUCACAGUGUCCUCCCCAACACCUGCCACUCCCGUGGUGCGGUCACCAGCGGCAGAGUUGGAGUCAUGAGCGAGGGGAUGAGGAGGGUGACACCGGCAGAGGGCGGGGUGACUCAGGACCGGUUCCCAGCAAAAAGGGUUGCUUGGCUAUGGGGUGCGCGCUGGCAGGCUUAGGGAUCACCCCCCCACCUGCCUCAUUCAUUCACCAAGUGUGCGCAGGCUGUCUGCUACGUGCUGGGCAUUAUCAUAGUUGCCAGAAACAAAAAAAGCAAAUAAGAAUCCCCACCCUCCCCUGGGAAGCUGACACUCCAGGGGGUACACAGGCUUUCCCAGGCAAUGUGCCUAGGUUUCCACCCCCACUCGCCCACCCCUGGGUCCCUGUUUUUCCCUCAGUGCUGGGACACUUACAGUGUCUGUUGUCAAACUGUAUCUCCUGAGAGUUUUUUUUUUUUUUUUUUAAGAUUUUAUUUAUUUAUUUGACAGAGAGAAAUUACAAGUACACUGAGAGGCAGGCAGAGAGAGAGAGAAAAGGAAGCAGGCUCCCUGCUGAGCAGAGAGCCCAAUGCGGGACUCGAUCCCAGGACCCUGAGAUCAUGACCGGAGCCUAAGGCAGCGGCUUAACCCACUGAGCCACCCAGGCGCCCUCUCCUGAGAGUUUUAUCUUCAAUGUUCGUCACUAAGGCCAAGGAGCUGAAGAACCAGAAAUAAAAGAGAGUUUGAAACAGACAAAACCCAAAGGCGUGAAUGUCACCACCCUCUCUGCUGAGCGUCACCUGCACGGGGCUUCCUGUCAGGUGUGAGACGAGGUUCCAUCUCCCACUUCUCUGUGAAUAUAAGUCCUCCCCCGAGCUCUUCCAUGAGCGAGCCAGAGCACCCUCCCCUUCCCCUGCCCCUCUAGAGGGCCCGAACGCCUCAGGGUCCAGAGCUCCCUCAUGCUCCCCCUGCCCCACGCUGGGGUUGGGACUUUGCCCUUAGGACCGGGUGAGACAGGAGGCUGCUUGCAGGCCCCCCCGAGACCUGGACCAGAGGCAGCCCCUACAGUCAUUCCACGAAUGCAUCUGUCCGUCUUCAACCAGACCGCGCCUCAGGAGAGAUCACGGACAAAGGAUACAAGUCCACCCAGGGUAUAUGACCCCCGAAGCUUGUCACUCUGGGCCAAACCAUCCAGGGCACCCAGGGCUAUGUCCCCCACACUGGGGGCAAAGGGCGGGGGGAGACGGAGAUGCCUGCUGCAGCAGGUCUCUGCCUUUGAGCACUGAGGUCACCCUCCUAUCCACGACCUGUGGCCUGCAGGAAGAGCUGGGCAGGGGCAGCUGAGCUCAGACACUGUGGCCUCUCUCAGGAGUCCCCAGCCUCAGUGAGGCUGAUCCCAUGGCCCACAGCCCUGGGCUCCGCUACGGAGGGCGGGUCUCAGGCUGAGCCACCUCUGCCUGGAGCGUGCAGCCCCGCCCUUGGCUCUGGCCCAGGAGUCCCUGCCGAGGUCCGCCCGCUCCUCAGCCUCCCUGUUGCGGAAGCGACGUUCCCAUGCUGGGCAUGUCCUGAUCACUACUUCCAGGGCAGGGCUGGGAGUGAGCUGCCGCUACUGACAUGGGCCCAGCGUCGCCUAGAUGUCACCCAGCAGGCCUCGGUGCUCCCCCCAGCAGUCUGGGGCCUGAUCUUGCUGCUGCCAGGCCACCCCUUUUGCCUUCCGCCUCCAACCCCUGCAGGGCCUGUUUGCAACCCUGUCCUGGGGCCAGAAAUAACCUAGCCAGGUUUCGAGGCAGCCAGGAAGACGGAGCAGCUCAAGACAGGUCCAGAGACACCAACACCAAAACAAGUUUUGAAGAUGUGUCCGCAUUUGCAUCCGCCAGCUGGAGACAUCCGAGAGGACAGGAACCCAGAAACACAGAACUUACUCUUCAUUAUUUCUCAUUAUUCCCCCCAAUAAAGUACCACUUACUGCGUGUCUUCUGAUUACGACUCGGUAUUUG
Long non-coding RNA from Mustela lutreola (European mink), 4314 nucleotides. RefSeq lists it as uncharacterized. The record is from RefSeq and is a predicted model, not a curated record. Lineage: Eukaryota; Metazoa; Chordata; Mammalia; Carnivora; Mustelidae. The transcript has 3 exons.